CCUACGGGAGGCAGCAGUAGGGAAUUUUCGGCAAUGGGCGCAAGCCUGAACGAGCAAUGCCGCGUGAACGAGGAAGGUCUUCGGAUCGUAAAGUUCUGUUGAAGGGGAAAAAGAGCGGAGAGAGGAAAUGGUCUCCGAUUGAUGUUACCCUUCGAGGAAGUCACGGCUAACUACGUGCCAGCAGCCGCGGUAAUACGUAGGUGGCGAGCGUUAUCCGGAAUGAUGGGGCGUAAAGGGUGCGUAGGCGGCCUGCUAAGUCUGGGGUGAAAGGUAACGGCUCAACCGGUACAGGCUUUGGAAACUGGCGGGCUAGAGAGCAGGAGAGGGCGGUGGAACUCCAUGUGUAGCGGUAAAAUGCGUAGAUAUAUGGAAGAACACCAGUGGCGAAGGCGGCCGCCUGGCCUGUUACUGACGCUGAGGUACGAAAGCGUGGGGAGCAAAUAGGAUUAGAUACCCGAGUAGUC
This 464-nucleotide ribosomal RNA is filed under the name uncultured bacterium. Its description in RNAcentral is "partial 16S ribosomal RNA". It matches the Rfam family "Bacterial small subunit ribosomal RNA", at positions 338 to 795 of the family's 1533-position model. The record is from RNAcentral.